GGUUUCAUCGUCAAGAAUUGAUUUUAUUAUCCAAAAAGAAGGCUAAAUUACAGAAAACACUUGUGUCAAAAUCCGAUUUUUUAAUUUUCCUUUUUGUCAUUUAAAAAUCUAUACUUUGCUCCUUUAUAAAAUAAAAAAUAUUCACAAGGGUACGGUACGAACUGUGAUGACAAAAUAACUAUUUUGUCCCUCACUAUUUUGCCUCUCAACAUGUUUACAAGAUAGAAGACUGAGGAUAUUUUUGGCAUAAAAAAAUAUAUAAUAAUAUUUUAUAAACGGAAUUCUAACGGAUUACUAACGGUAAGGGAUGAAAUAAAUAAUUUUUAUUUUAUAAAGAGGCAAAGUGUAGAUUUUUAAAUGAUAAGAAAAAAAAAAAAAAAUCGAGUUUUCACAGAAAGAUUUUAUAUAUUUUAGCCCAA
Molecule: long non-coding RNA, 419 nt
Filed under: Ananas comosus (pineapple)
Lineage: Eukaryota; Viridiplantae; Streptophyta; Magnoliopsida; Poales; Bromeliaceae
Description: long non-coding RNA (ACOM_LNC022819)
Source: RNAcentral